This 587-nucleotide long non-coding RNA is filed under the name Struthio camelus australis. RNAcentral describes it as "lncRNA (ENSSCUG00000013299.1)". The record is from RNAcentral. Lineage: Eukaryota; Metazoa; Chordata; Aves; Struthioniformes; Struthionidae.
UAGAGUAAUAUAUCUCCACUGAAGUUAAAGUUUUGACCAGACUCUUCUGGCUACAAGUUAGGAUGCUUUCCCCAUGGGAGGCAGGGAUUAUUAUUAAAAAUUUGAAGGUAGAUCAAGCUGCUGCAUGAAACAAUCUUUUAACUGUCUUUUCAUUUUCCUUUUCACAGGAUUUUAAAAUCAGUCUCCAAAGAGCUGAACAAGCACAGUCAAUUGAUGGAGAAACCACAACAUUUAAAGACAUCAAAUGAUUCUCAGUCUUCUGAACUACAGUUUCAAGUAGUCUGAAAACUGCACAUAGCAAAAAGUUCAAAGUGGGGACUGUGUGACAGCCCAUCAGAACAGUGUUUCUAGAGCAUGAAUCUGAAGGUAUGUGUUGCAGCACUCACAGGUAAGGCCUGAGAGCAUGAAGUGGUGUUUGAGGAUGCAAUAACUACUGAAAUAGCAUUGGAGGUCUGUAGAGGGUGGACAGAAUCAAAACUAUUACAAUCCCAUUCAUACUUAAAUAUCAUUGUGGCAUUGUCCCUGAGGUGAACCAUAUACAGACUUUGUGUGAGAGAGAGUUAGAAUGGUCCUAAACAGAGCCAGGA